GAACGCUGGCGGCGUGCUUAACACAUGCAAGUCGAACGAUUAACCCAAACUUCGGUUUGGUUAUAAAGUGGCGAACGGGUGAGUAACACGUGACCAACCUGCCUUCUAGAUCGGGAUAACUCAAGGAAACUUGUGCUAAUACCGGAUACUCCGGAGCAAUCGCAUGGUAGCUUCGGGAAAGCUUUUGCGCUAGAAGAUGGGGUCGCGGCCUAUUAGGUAGUUGGUGGGGUAGAGGCCUACCAAGCCUGCGAUAGGUAGCCGGGUUGAGAGACUGAUCGGCCACAUUGGGACUGAGAUACGGCCCAGACUCCUACGGGAGGCAGCAGUGGGGAAUUUUGCGCAAUGGGGGCAACCCUGACGCAGCAACGCCGCGUGCGGGAUGAAGGUCUUCGGAUUGUAAACCGCUUUCAGUAGGGAAUAAGUAUGAAGGUACCUACAGAAGAAGCACCGGCUAAAUACGUGCCAGCAGCCGCGGUAAUACGUAUGGUGCAAGCGUUAUCCGGAAUCAUUGGGCGUAAAGCGCGCGUAGGCGGCUUGUUAAGCAGGAAUUUAAAUCUUAGGGCUCAACCUUAAGUCGGUUCCUGAACUGGCAGGCUCGAGUGCGGUAGAGGAAGGUGGAAUUCCCAGUGUAGCGGUGAAAUGCGCAGAUAUUGGGAAGAACACCGAUGGCGAAGGCAGCCUUCUGGGCCGCCACUGACGCUGAGGCGCGAAAGCUAGGGGAGCGAACAGGAUUAGAUACCCUGGUAGUCCUAGCCGUAAACGAUGGGCACUAGGUGUGGGGAGGAAUUCUCUCCGUGCCGCAGCUAACGCAUUAAGUGCCCCGCCUGGGGAGUACGGCCGCAAGGCUAAAACUCAAAGGAAUUGACGGGGGCCCGCACAAGCAGCGGAGCAUGUGGC
RNAcentral lists this ribosomal RNA (897 nucleotides) under human gut metagenome. Its description in RNAcentral is "bacterial SSU rRNA". It matches the Rfam family "Bacterial small subunit ribosomal RNA", at positions 31 to 945 of the family's 1533-position model. The record is from RNAcentral.